AGAGUUUGAUCAUGGCUCAGGAUGAACGCUAGCUACAGGCUUAACACAUGCAAGUCGAGGGGAAACGACAUCGAAAGCUUGCUUUUGAUGGGCGUCGACCGGCGCACGGGUGAGUAACGCGUAUCCAACCUGCCCAUCACUUGGGGAUAACCUUGCGAAAGUAAGACUAAUACCCAAUGACGUCUCUAGAAGACAUCUGAAAGAGAUUAAAGAUUUAUCGGUGAUGGAUGGGGAUGCGCCUGAUUAGCUUGUUGGCGGGGUAACGGCCACAAGGCGACGAUCAGUAGGGGUUCUGAGAGGAGGUCCCCCANAUUGGAACUGAGACACGGUCCAAACUCCUACGGGAGGCA
RNAcentral lists this ribosomal RNA (350 nucleotides) under uncultured bacterium. RNAcentral describes it as "bacterial SSU rRNA". It matches the Rfam family "Bacterial small subunit ribosomal RNA", at positions 8 to 350 of the family's 1533-position model. The record is from RNAcentral.